UGUGUGUUCCCUAUACAGAGGAUGUGCCC
RNAcentral lists this non-coding RNA (29 nucleotides) under Rattus norvegicus (Norway rat). Lineage: Eukaryota; Metazoa; Chordata; Mammalia; Rodentia; Muridae. The record is from RNAcentral.